GGCGGCAUAGCCAAGUGGCAAGGCAGAGGACUGCAACUCCUUUAUCACCGGUUCGAAUCCGGUUGCCGCCUCCA
This 74-nucleotide transfer RNA is filed under the name Salimicrobium album. Its description in RNAcentral is "tRNA_Cys_GCA". It matches the Rfam family "tRNA". From Rfam's summary of the family: Transfer RNA (tRNA) molecules are approximately 80 nucleotides in length. Their secondary structure includes four short double-helical elements and three loops (D, anti-codon, and T loops). RNAcentral also lists the same sequence under 4 other names. The record is from RNAcentral. Lineage: Bacteria; Bacillati; Bacillota; Bacilli; Caryophanales; Bacillaceae.